GCCAGCGGUGAUAGCACGUUGAAUACACCAGUUCGCUUCGAAGUUAAAGGAUUCCUUUGAAAAGGAUCUUUGAAAUCAAGCAACGUUGAGCGUGGUUGGUAUCCCGAUAGUUGAACAUCUGGACAAUCGCGUACUGCUCACU
Molecule: ribosomal RNA, 142 nt
Filed under: Diaphorina citri (Asian citrus psyllid)
Lineage: Eukaryota; Metazoa; Arthropoda; Insecta; Hemiptera; Psyllidae
Source: RNAcentral